UACGGGGGGAGCAAGCGUUGUUCGGAUUUACUGGGCGUAAAGGGCGCGUAGGCGGCCUUCUAAGUCGGACGUGAAAUCCCUCGGCUUAACCGAGGAACUGCGUCCGAUACUGAAAGGCUUGAAUCCGGGAGAGGGAUGUGGAAUUCCAGGUGUAGCGGUGAAAUGCGUAGAUAUCUGGAGGAACACCGGUGGCGAAGGCGGCAUCCUGGACCGGCAUUGACGCUGAGGCGCGAAAGCUAGGGGAGCAAACGGG
This 253-nucleotide ribosomal RNA is filed under the name uncultured bacterium. RNAcentral describes it as "partial 16S ribosomal RNA". It matches the Rfam family "Bacterial small subunit ribosomal RNA", at positions 524 to 776 of the family's 1533-position model. The record is from RNAcentral.